AGUCGAGCGAGAAGACGUAGCAAUACGUUUGUAAAGCGGCGAACGGGUGAGGAAUACAUGGGUAACCUACCCUCGAGUGGGGAAUAACUAGCCGAAAGGUUAGCUAAUACCGCAUACGACUCCUGGUCUGCGGAUCGGGAGAGAAAGCGAUACCGUGGGUAUCGCGCUCUUGGAUGGGCUCAUGUCCUAUCAGCUUGUUGGUGAGGUAACGGCUCACCAAGGCUUCGACGGGUAGCUGGUCUGAGAGGACGAUCAGCCACACUGGCACUGCGACACGGGCCAGACUCCUACGGGAGGCAGCAGUAAGGAAUAUUGCGCAAUGGGCGACAGCCUGACGCAGCGACGCCGCGUGGGGGAUGAAGGUCUUCGGAUUGUAAACCCCUUUCGGCAGGGAAGAUGGAACGGGUAACCGUUCGGACGGUACCUGCAGAAGCAGCCACGGCUAACUUCGUGCCAGCAGCCGCGGUAAUACGAAGGUGGCAAGCGUUGUUCGGAUUUACUGGGCGUACAGGGAGCGUAGGCGGUUGGGUAAGCCCUCCGUGAAAUCUCCGGGCCUAACCCGGAAAGUGCGGAGGGGACUGCUCGGCUAGAGGAUGGGAGAGGAGCGCGGAAUUCCCGGUGUAGCGGUGAAAUGCGUAGAGAUCGGGAGGAAGGCCGGUGGCGAAGGCGGCGCUCUGGAACAUUUCUGACGCUGAGGCUCGAAAGCGUGGGGAGCAAACAGGAUUAGAUACCCUGGUAGUCCACGCCUUAAACGA
Molecule: ribosomal RNA, 755 nt
Filed under: uncultured Nitrospira sp.
Lineage: Bacteria; Pseudomonadati; Nitrospirota; Nitrospiria; Nitrospirales; Nitrospiraceae
Description: bacterial SSU rRNA
Rfam family: Bacterial small subunit ribosomal RNA
Source: RNAcentral